UCGAUUCUUUCCCAUCCCGAGACCCCAAUCGACGGUGCCCUCGAGGGCUCGACCAUCUACUCCUCUUCCUCUCACCACCGUCCAAUCACCGGCGACACUUCAACAGGUCAACGCUGCACCACUGCUCCCCUUCACCAUCGCGCCGGCCUCUGCCCAAACCCGAUGCCCCACCACCCCCAGCCGUGGAACGCCGCCCAGACCAUCUCCGUUCCGCCACCACUCGUCAACGCGACCACAGCCUCUCCGUCCACCAUCGUCUCCUGGACCGAGCUAAGGCCACCGCGAACCAUCACCCUACCUCUCAGUCCCCACCACCGUGGCCGCGCCUUCUCCCAGCCCAACAAAUCCAACCGAUGCCGUCAUCUCCUCCUCUAAUUUAGAAUUGUUUGUUUGGGUGAUACCCUAGCCAUUGUUAAGGUGUAUGUUACAGCUGUAAUGGUCCCGGAGACCGCACUUAUCCUCCCAACUAAUGCUGGAGCGAAAAUUCUCGGUGAUGUACUCGACGGAGAUAAUAUCGAGUGGAUUUUCAAGGACUUGGUUCGCCGCCCGUGAUUGCAGCCUCCAUGAUUCUGCACUCGACUAGCUGAGUCAUUCACAGUAGUGUUUAUGAGUUGCCCUUAAGAUCGUACUUCCGUAUGAUAUUAGAAUUAUCUAUUUAUGUAUUACUUUUGGGUUUUGCGUAUCGUUAUUUAGUAGGUUGUUAUGUUGGUGUACGGAUUGGUGUUUUGUUGUGAUGUUUUGUUAACACCGUUGACGACUAAUAUUUUAUUUUUGGCUGGACUAUGAACAUCGUUGUAUUGAUGACCAUGUGUAGUAUUUU
Andrographis paniculata is the source of this 820-nucleotide long non-coding RNA. RefSeq lists it as uncharacterized. NCBI's taxonomy places the organism in Eukaryota, Viridiplantae, Streptophyta, Magnoliopsida, Lamiales, Acanthaceae. The record is from RefSeq and is a predicted model, not a curated record. The transcript is spliced from 3 exons.